RNAcentral lists this long non-coding RNA (1280 nucleotides) under Monodelphis domestica (gray short-tailed opossum). RNAcentral's name for it is "lncRNA (ENSMODG00000036783.1)". Lineage: Eukaryota; Metazoa; Chordata; Mammalia; Didelphimorphia; Didelphidae. The record is from RNAcentral.
GUGUACUUCAAACACUUCCCACCUCUAGGACAAACUAUUUACGUGACCUUGGCAAGGUUGAACUCGAUGGUUUCUGAGGUCCCUUCUAGUUCUAAAUCCAUGAUCCUUUGAGAUCCUAAGUCACAUGGGCUACAAUUUGAAUUCUCACACUGGCAGUUCCCCCAUUCUGACAAAAAUCAUAGAUCCUUCACAUAUUUAUGUGUUCCCUAAUAAAGGAAUCAUACAUAUUGCCACAGAUAUAGUGAGUGUACCUUCCAAUUCCAUGGACUAUCUAAGAUGAGGAGGAACUGAGGCAACUCCCCACUUAGGAGCUAACAGAAUUGUCUCUCUCAUCCAAACAGCAUCUAGGUGGGUAUGAGGCAAAGUAAAACUCGCACUGGCUGGUUAAUGACUCUUCAAAGCACCUCCGUUUUAGCUGGGCAACCAAUCGGCAAUCCACCUCUUCAGGGCAGUCAGUAAUAGAAUGUUGGCGUAAGCUCUGAAUUGAGGAGUAAAGCCCUUUCAUAUACUCCAAUGUGCCUUUCUGGAAUCAGUCUCCCUAGCCUCUUCCAUAUGGGCUGGCAUCAAUGAGAGGACGCUAGACAUGUCCUGAGAACUAAGCUUCAUUGGCUAGAUUCCUAUGGAUAGAGGAGCUCCAUAAUCUAGGGAUCCAGCCAUGGCAAAAUAUCUUCUUUCCUCUUGAGUUCCUGAUUCCUUGAUCAAGCCAAGACAGCUAUAUUGAGACCAAAUCAUGAACCCUAUUUUUGUGAUGGAAAAACACCUUAAGUCACUUUCCCACAAAGUCCAAAAAAAUUAUUACUGAGUGAAUGGAUAAAUGCUUGACCAAGAUGAUAAAGGAUGAAUAGGUUUUCAAUAAGUCAUCUGCAAAAUGGGGUGGCGACUGCUUUAUUGGCUUACCUCCCAGCAUUAUGGAGAGAGAGCAGCUUUGUGGAACCCAGAGGUCUUUGUAAAUGGGAAUCUAUAGGUCAGUAAAACAAGGUUCCUUUCUGAACUCCAUGGCUGGGAGUCCCUUGGAGCUGCAGCCCCAGACAAAACCCUGUCAGUAGCCUGCCAGAUCCCAGCAGGAGCAACUAGUGCCAGGAACUGCCUGAACCUCACAAGGACAAGUUAGUACCAUCAUGCAUCUAUUUAGUACCAUAGUUCCUCUAUGGUACAUUAAGGAUUAAAGAGGCUUCUGAGGGUUUGGGGGAUUUAUGUCACUUAUAAACAUACCUCCUGCUCAGAUACAUCUCACUCUAUGGACUACUGAUUAUAUGUAGGCUCUAAAUUGUAUGAAAUUU